GGGCGAGUGGCGGAAUGGUAGACGCGCUGGCUUCAGGAGCCAGUGUCCGCAAGGACGUGGAGGUUCGACUCCUCUCUCGCCCACCA
RNAcentral lists this transfer RNA (86 nucleotides) under Candidatus Berkelbacteria bacterium. Its description in RNAcentral is "tRNA-Leu". It matches the Rfam family "tRNA". From Rfam's summary of the family: Transfer RNA (tRNA) molecules are approximately 80 nucleotides in length. Their secondary structure includes four short double-helical elements and three loops (D, anti-codon, and T loops). Further hydrogen bonds mediate the characteristic L-shaped molecular structure. tRNAs have two regions of fundamental functional importance: the anti-codon, which is responsible for specific mRNA codon recognition, and the 3' end, to which the tRNAs corresponding amino acid is attached (by aminoacyl-tRNA synthetases). tRNAs cope with the degeneracy of the genetic code in two manners: having more than one tRNA (with a specific anti-codon) for a particular amino acid; and 'wobble' base-pairing, i.e. permitting non-standard base-pairing at the 3rd anti-codon position. Lineage: Bacteria; Candidatus Berkelbacteria. The record is from RNAcentral.